UACGGGGGGGGCAAGCGUUGUUCGGAAUUACUGGGCGUAAAGAGCGUGUAGGCGGCCACUUAAGUCCUGCGUGAAAUCUUGCGGCUCAACCGCAAGCGGUCGUGGGAAACUGGGUGGCUAGAGUGCGGGAGAGGAGAGCGGAAUUCCUGGUGUAGCGGUGGAAUGCGCAGAUAUCAGGAGGAACACCAAUAGCGAAGGCAGCUCGCUGGGACGUUACUGACACUGAGGCGCGAAAGCGUGGGGAGCGAACAGG
RNAcentral lists this ribosomal RNA (253 nucleotides) under uncultured bacterium. RNAcentral's name for it is "partial 16S ribosomal RNA". It matches the Rfam family "Bacterial small subunit ribosomal RNA", at positions 524 to 776 of the family's 1533-position model. The record is from RNAcentral.